This is a long non-coding RNA of Dromaius novaehollandiae (emu), 6773 nucleotides long. RefSeq lists it as uncharacterized. The record is from RefSeq and is a predicted model, not a curated record. Lineage: Eukaryota; Metazoa; Chordata; Aves; Casuariiformes; Dromaiidae. The transcript has 3 exons.
AAAGUAAAUUAUCUUUAAUUGUUUUCUUGAUUAAUCAGUUAAUGUUUGCAGAGGACUUACAGAAGUUAAAUUACAAGCACUGAAGAAAGCAAUAAGGUGAAAAUAGACUAUGGGUGGGGAACUGAGGAAGGACAACACAAUGAAGCAAGAUGCAGAGGGCACGGAGCACGCUAAAAGGGAGGAAAUUGAGGAAAUAACUGGAAAAGAAAGUGGAAUGGAACUAAUGUGAGCAGGCAGAAUAAAAGGGGAAAAAAGUUCUAUUUAUUUGGCUCAUCACUUGUAUCAAACUGUAGUAAGUUAACAAUCUGAUGGAUGAAAGGUUAUUUUUACUUACUAUUUCUUAUGCUGUCCCUGUAUUUGGCAUUGCUGUUGUGGGGGAUAUAAGAGGAUAGAGAGGAUGAGAGGAUGAGAGAUAGAGAGGAUAUGUGUUACGAACCAUUUGUUUAUCUUAAUCCAGUUCUGAUAACUGAUUAAUUCAUUUUCUGCACUAACUCAGUCCUGGGCUUUUCUGCUAUAGUCCCUGUGACUGCUGUUUGUCAUGGUAUCUCUGCAUAUUUGCUUCCUGGAAAUGGUACCAAAAUUGUCAACUUGAGCUUUCAAAGAGCCAUUGGGUGGUAACUGCUUUCUAUCCUAAAUAGCCUUGUGGGAAUUUGAAUCACUGACCUGGUGGUGAAAACCUUUCCAAUCCAUUGCAAUCAUCUGGGCCUCUGGGUCUCCUCCAAAACAUCAUUUUCCAGCAGGUGUCAGUGAUUUUGUAAUUAUGCAGAAAAUAAAUUGCUUUUCCUUGAGUGUGUUGUACUGUGGUGCAAAGGAAUAUUCUCAUGUCACACCAGAUAUCUUAAUCCUUCUUACUGAAAAAGGUGAUGUCAUAGGCCUUCAUCCAGUGAAGGCUUGCAGAGAUGUUUAAUGUUAAGUUUGUCUGUAAGUCUCCAUAGAUUUGGGUUUAUAGAUUUGGUUUUGUUAAAGAUGACUGGGAACUUGUAUAUGUAGUUUAUAUAUAUAAAACUGUUCCUAUUGUGUUUCCCCCCCGCCCCUUUUUUUUGACUCAGUCAAGUAAUAGUGCUUCUUCUACCUAAUGUAAGUUGGAAUUGAUUAUAUUCUUAAAUGCUUUGCCUCAGAAUUUAUUAAAUAAUAGAACAAUAGUUAUCUAAGCUGCCACGAAAUGAAAUAACUCCAAACAUGCAUAUGAAGAUUUGAAGAAAAUACUUUGGAUAAUAACCUUAUUUGUGCUAAUAUUCUGGGCAAUACCAGCAGAAAAAAUAGUGACAGAAUGAAUUGGGAUGGUGCAGUGGUACUGACAAAAAUAUUCCAUAAUGAUAAGAGUUCAAGCCCUUCUGCCCCCAAAAAUAUGUUAGGGAAAAAAUCACUGUGAGAAUUAGAACAAAUAUAUAAUUCUCUCUUUGUCUACACUAAAUGUAGGUGAACACAGAGGUAGGAAGGAGAAGAAGGUUCUUAAAGAAGCUUCUUAUUUGCAGCAUCUUGGAAACUUUUAUUCCACCUGAGUAAUACUAGGGUUUUUUGAAGGGGUAUUAACAUGAUCUGCUGUUCUCUCUUUUACCCCAUUUUGGGUGGGGGGAGCAAACCCUCCUCUGGCUCCCCGCUGAAAACCUCAGAAAAUGCUUCUUGGAGCCCCUGGAAUUUCUCUGAAUCGCUUGACAGGGUUUGUUGUGGAGUUUAAAGGUCAGUAAACCUGCAAAAUCUUUUAGGCCAUAGGUUUGGUGAUUUGUUUUUUUUUCCCUUCCAUACAGUGUAGCUUUCGUGUUUGGUACCAUGUAUUUCUUUCCUGUAUGUCUCUGCCUUUCUUCUUUAGAGUCCUGUAUCUUUUACAUUAGGCACCAAACUGUCCCAUUUCUAAAGCACAGCUUUUUUUGUUGUUCUUGUUUUUUUUGUUUUUUUGUUUUUUUUAAUACAGUAUAGACUAAAAUCAGUUUGUAGCCCUAACAAGAUGCAGGGGCAGCUGUAACUUCUCUACGCCUUCUUUGAGAGGUGAGAUGUGAGAUGGUGUCCAGGCUGACGCCAGUGGGAGAUUUUUUUUCUUCACUUUUACGAUAAAAUCCUGGCUCUCAAGUGGUGUCUCUUGACUCUGGAAGUUGGGGAUUGUUUGUAGGCAAUCGGCUAAAAAUAAUGCCUUCCUAAAGUUUUGUGAAGAAUAUGUCUACGCAGUGCCUUUCCUCUGGCGAGGCGUGCCAGUACAGCUGCCCUGCAGUUCAGAGUGGGGUUUUUGGCCACUGCGAAUGCACAAGAUCUUGUUGUAUGGAGAAAAUUGGGAGUAAUGACGUGCGCUUACUAAUUCUUACUUAACAUCCACGUGACAUAAUGUGGAUGUUGAGGUUGUGUUUUACAGUGUCAGUAUUAUUGAAAUAUGGGAUUUGAUUGUGCUAAGUGAAAUAACCCAGUGUCAAAAAAGGCACAAGAACAGCAGGCGUGGGCUUGGAGUGAGGACUGCUAGUGGUAUCGCUAACAAGCCUCUGGAUUUCUCUGAGGGCAGGGCAGGAGGUAUCUAGAGAGAGACCUUUUGCGGGUGGAGGCUGCAGGGCUGGAGGUGCCCGGCAUCCUGGCUCUGCGCUCAGCGGCAGUAACCGGCGGGGCUGAAGCGAGCAGGCGUGGAGCUCAGCAGCUUGCCGAGCCACUCUCUUCUUCACAUGCCACAAGUGAGCAAAGCGUUCUUCUCCUACACUGUGUGACGUCAGCGUGAUCCCAGCUUGUGUCUGUGUCUGGAUACGCAGUUCAGAUAGGCCUCUCUAGCGCAAGUCUCAGGAGAUGAUGUGAUCUGCUGCGGAACAAACAAAAUAUGUAUUUAUUUACUUAUUCUCAAUUUGUGAUGUGUUCUUAGAAUUUCCAAAACCUUGAAGGUUGUGAAAUGAGUUCCUGCAUGACUAACAUUGCUACGUGAUUCCUUACUUUCCUUAGAAUCCUUGAAACUAUGUUGCAUAAAUCAGAAGUCUUGCUGCAUAAUUCAGGUAUGAUGUACAGUAUAAUAUGCAAGACUACUUAUAAUUACGUACUUACUAACUGUUCCAGAAACUAAUGGAUUGUGUAUCACAUCUUGGCCUAGGAAUGUUCUUGAAAGUGAAAUGUAGCAGUGUUAUUUUAAUCAUUGACAUAGCAUUUACUAAUUUUCAAACUUUCUCCUGAAGUUUUGCACAAAAUAAAAAAAAAAAGGUACUCUGCAGAUAUAGAACCUUCUACAAGCAUAUCGUAAUUCAGCAUUAUGUGGCUAUUGGAUAGGGGGAUUCCAAAAAACUACAGGGAACUACAUGGGAAAAACUACAGGAUUCUCUUGGGACCAUGUAAAACAGAACAUGCGCUGUCAAGAUAGUUAAGACUGAAUGAAUAUUGCUUUAAUAAUGGUGAGUCCUACCUUGGAAACACUGCAUUCUGUCUGGCAGAGUCUGAAAUCUGUGAUUAGGAAAGACUUUCUAUCCAUUAUUGCUAUGACUAUGUAUGGAUGCUACUUGGAAAUGCUUGUUGGAAAAAGUUUUGUAGAAUUAACCAUAUUCGUCUUGGAAUCCUUAAGGAUGGAUUAUAUGUAUUUGUUACUUAGUCAUGGAGUAUGUAAUUAGCACUUCAGCUAAACAUUUAUUAUGCAUCUGGUGAGGAAAUGCUUUCCUUUGUAACACUGGUUCUUAUAAAUCAUAUUUUAAUAUGGAUAAUCCUCUUUUAACACUAAUUGGAGUAUGGAGCUAAUGCUUAUUAAACAUCUUAUUCAGUGUAAAGACUGCUAGGAUAGUCACAGUAUGCUACUGCAGUAUCAGUGGAGCAGAAUUGGAGAGAGCGUGAAGGAGUCAUGUAUAAUAGGCAUGAAUGUAAGAUUUUUACUUUGUCCAGUCCUGUUUCUAGCAGUCUUGUAUGUGGCGAUAUAGUCAUUGUAAAGAUUUAAUUGGCUAAGACCUUGCCAGCUUGCAUUUGACAACUAUGCUGAAAUCCUGGCCAAACUUUUCAAGAGCAUGCAGCAAUCUGCAGUUGGCUGAGAGCAGCGGAUAUAAAUAGAUGAUAUGCUGCUGAAUUACAAUUGAUUAUUGAAAUUCAGCUAGGGUAUAAUAGAUAUCCAUAUAAAGGCAACAUUGUUUCCCUAAUAUGAGACUUUAAAUGAAUGCAGUUAAUGUUUAUCGCAAAAUCAUGCAAUCUCACCCAUAGUUUUAUGAUUUUUGCAAACAAAAAUGAUUUUUCUGCUCUUAAAGAGAAAAGAAAAAAGUUGUGGUCUGUUAUCUGGUUGGUUUCCAGUAGGAACAGUUCAUUAUUUUAUUUGGGGUUAGGCAAAAGCUGGAUGAAGACAAGGCAUAUUUUAUAUACAUAAAUUGUUUUUCAAGCAUUUUGCUUCAUCCUAUCCAGUUUUCAUUUAGUAGGAAUCGUACCAAUGAAUAGCAGUAUCCAGCUGAUACUUGCUUUCAAAGUUAUUUGCUUUAUUCCUCCCAGUAAUAAAGAAUAUUUUAGGCCAGAUUGGAACUUUGGGAAAAACGGGAAAAUACAAAGUUUUAUUCAUGGAAUCAGCUCUUAUUAAUCUGUGUUUAAUAACUCCAUAAUAGUAUUUUCCAGAGGCUAAAAUAGCAUUAAGGUCCAAUUGCACUACAUGUGGCAUGUAGGAAGUUGUAGGGCUCGAAGGGACCUUAGGAGGUCUCUAGUCCAACCUUCUGCUCAAAGCAGAGACAGCUACGAGGUCAGACCAGGUUGUUCAGGGUGUCAUCCAGCCGGGUCUUGAAAACCUCCAAGGACAAAGACUGCACAGCCUCCCAGGGCAACCUGUGCCACAGCUUGACUGUCCUCAUGGUGUAAAAGUUCAUGGGUUCUUUCCAACGUGCAUGGCCGGUCUGUGCUUCUGUGUUAGAUCUUGCCUUCACCUAACUGGGGGUUUUGCAAUUUAACUUUAGAAGAAGAUGGACAAGUCCCUGACUUAGGUGUUUCAGGUAAGGACUGGGCUGUUUCUUUUGUAUACAGAGAAGCUAAGUGCCUCAGAAGGCUUGCUACAAUUCCCCCUUCUUGUGGGAGGAGGUGCAGAAUUUGGAAAUGCUGAGUGUGGAGUUAUGUUUAAUAAUGUGUCUUCAUGAAGCUUAGGCAUUUGAGGUAAUGCCAAGUAUUCUAGUGUGUGAGAAGUCCAAAGUGUAGCAUUUGUAAGGUAUUAUGUGAGGCCAAGACCAGGAAGUAGUCCCAAAACUUUGUCACUUUAUGUUGUGCAGCCAGGAAAGCCAACAGUUAGCUGUUAGCUUACCUUGGCUCAUUUGAAACAUGGUACCUGAUUAUGAAUUGUUCAGGUCAUUUUAGGUCAAAGAGAAGUGGCUUAGUUGGAAGCACUUGCAGGAGUGCUUUAAGUGUAAAUUGUAUGUUGUUUCCUUCAAAUGGUCUAGCAGUUCUUAGGCAGUAGGUGUCAUGUGAGCGGUGAUUUAGAGUAAUACGACUUCUCAGGUGCUAGUUUGCACCUCCAGCAGUCCAGCUUAGACAAUUUAAGCAAGUGUUAGCAUGCCAAGUGAUGAUGCAAAAUUGGUGAGUUAGUCCUGCUAAGAAUAUAUCGGGGUUGAGGGUGUAAGCAUGCAGAUAUGUUGAUGUUUCUGUUUGGUCUUUUGGCCUGUGCUUCAGUCCACUUGGCUUCCAAGGUUGUCUCCUCCAGUGUCCUCCACUAUCCUUGCAAAGAAGUACGCAGCUCGUUCUUUCCUUUCCUAGCAAGACCAGAGGAAAGCAUAAUUAAUGGUGGUAAUAUCUGCUUUUUCUGUGCGACAACUGUGUUCAGUUCACUUGGUUUGGAAAUGGGAAAUACCUCAACUAGGUAGGUUUAAACCCUCAUCUCCUACUUCCUAGGAUGUCAGCCACUAAGUUACAGAUGGCCAUGUACAUGCCUUCUGUUGAAACUCUGCAUUGGGAUGAACAAAUUUCAAGACUCAUGGGGUCAGAAAAAACACAAUGCUCUUUCUUUUCUCAUUUUGGUGACAACAGUGAGAAAAAUAGACCAACGAGUGCUUCAGCACUGAGCUACAAGGCUCACUGUCCACCCAUCUGCAGUCUCCCAGGCUUUAUCUGUGUUGUUAUUCAGUUUCUCACUGCUGCAGUUUUCACUAAUGAUAUUAAUGGUGGAAACAUCAGUUGUCAACGUUUUAAUAAGCAUCAUUAACUAUCUCAAAGUAGGUAAAUGAUGAAGCUGUUGAAAAGCCAGGGGUUGCACACUGCCUCAUGUCUGCACUCCUGCUGCCCUAGUGGAUGGAGCUCAGUGAUGGAAAAGGGCAAAAAUUAAGAGGCAGAUAAAGCCUAGAUGUUGGAGAUUCUUCCUUUCAGUGUUUAUUUUAAUGUUAACAGAGGAGCAGCAUGCAAUUAUUUGAUAAUAGUUGUACUGCUUUAGUAGUCUAACAGCCUAUGACAAUUUAUUAAUUUCUGAGCUUCUUACCACAAACACAAUAUGACUAUCUAAGGGUUUUCAAAUUAUGCAGCAAACAUUACUUCUGUUUUAAUUUAAAAUGUGUAUCUCUUACAUAUGAGAAAUGUUUCUUAUGUGUCUACCUGACAAAUGUCAUUGUUCCUUUCUUGGUUAUUUGUAGGUCCAGAUUUACUGAUAGUUUUUUUUUUUUUUUUGACUAAGUGUAAAAUAUUUCCAUGGGUAGACAUUAAGAUAUUAUUACUACUGUACCUUUGUAAUUUCUUAAUGCAAGUCUUGUAACCUUUUUUUUUAUGGGAUUCUCUUUAUGAUGUCUGGCACAGAACUUGGUUUCUGGAUCACUCAGUAAAGGCCAGACCUCUGAAUGCUUUAUAUCAUUCACAAUAAAUUAGACCAUUCACUAACAUCCAGCAAA